CAAUAGCGUAUAUUAAAGUUGUUGCAGUUAAAAGCUCGUAGUUGGAUUUCUGGCAGUGUGACUCCGGCCGGCGUGAUGCCGGCUCGAGCGCGCUACCAUCCUUCUGUCAACCUUCGCGGGUUUUUACCGCCCGCCCUGGGGCUCAGAUAUUUUACCUUGAGAAAAUUAGAAGUGUUUCAGGCAGGCUAUCGCCGGAAUACAUUAGCAUGGAAUAAUGGAAAAGGACUGCAACCUCUUCUGUUGGUCUGGGAGGCUGAAGUAAUGAUUAAUAGGGAUAGUUGGGGGGCAUUAGUACUUUCCAGUCAGAGGGUGAAAUUCUCCAAUUUGGUAAAGACUAACUUAUGCGAAAGCAUUUGCCAAGGAUGUUUUCAUUAAUCAAGAACGAAAGAUUUGGGGGAU
RNAcentral lists this ribosomal RNA (399 nucleotides) under uncultured eukaryote. RNAcentral describes it as "bacterial SSU rRNA". It matches the Rfam family "Eukaryotic small subunit ribosomal RNA", at positions 592 to 998 of the family's 1831-position model. The record is from RNAcentral.